Molecule: long non-coding RNA, 287 nt
Filed under: Setaria italica (foxtail millet)
Lineage: Eukaryota; Viridiplantae; Streptophyta; Magnoliopsida; Poales; Poaceae
Description: long non-coding RNA (SITA_LNC001618)
Source: RNAcentral
GAGUGAUCUAGUCUACCUAAACUGAUUCAGGAAGAUAAACUAGUAAAAGGUUUCGACCUCCAGGAUUCCCGGAGGAGAGACCACCAAACAACGUUACACUGACUUUCUCACACCCAUUUUCAACGAUCCUAACAGCAAAAGAACAACCAGAAAAUUAUUCCCUCGAACCCAGAUUUCGACAGGAAUCGUAGAUGGUCUAGCUGGCGCUUUAUUAAGCCUCUGUCUCUUCAUUCCUCGUCGUCGUCGUCCCUCUGCUCCCAUGGUUCAGCCAGCAGCAGUCUUGCUUG